GCUCCGGUAUACCAACUUGGUAGAGGACCACGGCUCAGAACCGUGUCAGUGCUGGUUCAAAUCCAGCUCGGAGCACCA
This 78-nucleotide transfer RNA is filed under the name Deinococcus arboris. Its description in RNAcentral is "Deinococcus sp. HMF7620 tRNA-Leu". It matches the Rfam family "tRNA". Rfam says of the family: Transfer RNA (tRNA) molecules are approximately 80 nucleotides in length. Their secondary structure includes four short double-helical elements and three loops (D, anti-codon, and T loops). Lineage: Bacteria; Thermotogati; Deinococcota; Deinococci; Deinococcales; Deinococcaceae. The record is from RNAcentral.